GAUGAACGCUGGCGGCGUGCCUAAUACAUGCAAGUCGAGCGGACGGACGAGAAGCUUGCUUUUCUGAUGUUAGCGGCGGACGGGUGAGUCACACGUGUAUAACCUACCUAUAAGACUGGGAUAACUUCGGGAAACCGGAUCUAAUACCGGAUAAUAUUUUGAACCGCAUGGUUCAAAAGUGAAAGACGGUCUUGCUGUCACUUAUAGAUGGAUCCGCGCUGCAUUGGCUAGUUGGUAAGGUAACGGCUUACCAAGGCAACGAUGCAUAGCCGACCUGAGAGGGUGAUCGGCCACACUGGAGCUGAGACACGGUCCAGACUCCUACGGGAGGCAGCAGUAGGGAAUCUUCCGCAAUGGGCGAAAGCCUGACGGAGCAACGCCGCGUGAGUGAUGAAGGUCUUCGGAGCGUAAAACUCUGUUAUUAGGGAAGAACAUAUGUGUAAGUAACUGUGCACAGCUUGACGGUACCUAAUCAGAAAGCCACGGCUAACUACGUG
This 497-nucleotide ribosomal RNA is filed under the name uncultured bacterium. Its description in RNAcentral is "partial 16S ribosomal RNA". It matches the Rfam family "Bacterial small subunit ribosomal RNA", at positions 28 to 507 of the family's 1533-position model. The record is from RNAcentral.